CACCUCAUACAUCUGCCCGCCCAGCCUACAAACCUAGCUGAAGCGGUUCCUAAAAUCGAGGGAGAUCACCCUUGCACAUCAUGCAGUUCCGUCAUUCGCAAAAUACAAAAGGGGCUUGUGUGGUGUGUAGGCAUGGUGGGAUUGUCACUUGAGAAAGCUUUGCGAAUGCUCUCCAUUUCGCUAGGCGGUGUUGGCUCCCUACAUAC
RNAcentral lists this small nucleolar RNA (206 nucleotides) under Pyrenophora teres f. teres 0-1. RNAcentral describes it as "small nucleolar RNA snR43". The record is from RNAcentral. Lineage: Eukaryota; Fungi; Ascomycota; Dothideomycetes; Pleosporales; Pleosporaceae.